Non-coding RNA from Neolamprologus brichardi, 1547 nucleotides. The record is from RefSeq and is a predicted model, not a curated record. NCBI's taxonomy places the organism in Eukaryota, Metazoa, Chordata, Actinopteri, Cichliformes, Cichlidae.
GGAAGUUAAAUUUGGUAAACGAUGGUAUAAUCUGAAAAAGGUCAACUAGAGGUAAAGUCGCUUGCCAGUUGGGUCUGCUGAAAGUCAGACGGGACCACAUCUGAAGAACAGCUUUAGCCUCUCUUUUCUUUGGAAUAAGCCAAGAGGGAGGAGUUUAAACAAAGGCCCUUUCCACAUAAAAAAUGGAAGCUUGUGCAGAGAAGCCAUGGUGUCCUGCUCUCAACACUACAUGCUGCCGUUUCUGCUUCUAAAACCUUCAACUAAGACGGUUGUUUCCUGAUUCUGCUGUUGGAAGCUACAAAGCAUUGUUCCAUGGGUUUUGCUGCCCCUGCCUGCACUGAACAAAGAUAAUUACUCAGGAAACAUUUCGGCCAAUCAGGCGCGGCCUUGCAUCUUGCUCGUGAGGAAAGCGACCAGUCAGGAUCUGGCUAACAUCACCGGGGCCUGAUCGCCUUGCCUGAAGAGCGGAGCCUUCCCCGACUGAGGGCUGAGAGUGUCCUCCAUGUUUUAUAAGUGUUGACAUAACAGUGUGUCAGGCAGCCAUGCAUCCACAGAGUCUGGCUGAGGAGGAGAUAAAGACAGAGUCUGAUGUGGUAGAGGGAAUGGAUGCAUCUGUGCGAUCCAAAGUCCCUGAUCCACCAGGGUCAGCAGAAAGAUCAGUGGCACCACAGAAACGAAAGGUGUCGAGUCCCACCCAUUCCUCCAAUGGGCACUCUCCCUCAGACACCUCCCCCAGCCCUCUUAAGAAGAAGAAGAAGCCAGGGGCCUUGAAUUGUAACAACAAAGACCAGGUAAGGGCUAUUGUAAGUGCAAGUUCAUUUUGAAAUCAGGUGUGUUCUCAAAGGCUAUUUCUUUAUCCAAUUUCAAUAAUGGGCCAUAUACUUUCAUAGAAUGUUAAGGCCAGGGUUGUGCCUGAAAAAAAACAUUUCAUAUGAUGUGCUAUCUGACCACAUCAGAAAUCAGAUAUGUUUAUGGUCAAUCUAACCGCUGUAUAAACACAGCCAUAAUAAAGUGUAUUUUCAGGGUCUUGAAUGGGAAGCGUUUAGUGUUAUUUAUUUAUUUUUUGCCUCAUGCUUCCACAACUAAUGUGUACAAUAUAUGAAAAAAAAAAAUUGCACUGCAUACAGUUGGCAGAUUAUACCUUCCACUUCUGGAAGUCUGCUAGGAUCUGUUCGAGUCUGAGUGACGUGAAUUUCAUCAACAGACAGUUAGUGGGAGGAUUGAUGCAGAUGUCCGUGUACUUGUGUUACAAAGCACCAAGUACAUAGGCUUCCCAGGCAACACAGUCCAAGUGGACGUUAAAGAUGUAUAACAGGAUUGACUAGUUGGCUUUCAGGUCUUCAGCUGUCUGUGUAAAUGCCAGGCUUUAGCCAGUUGUUGGUUUUGAACAUGAAGGGUGAGACUGAGACCUCCUUGUCCAUCAUCAAAGGAGAUGAACUAGGGGGAGGGGGUAUCUGAGGGUAUUCAACAAGAAUAUGUUACCAGAUGUACUGGUGCUAUAGUCCAAAGUCAGAAUUGUCAAAUAGACAACUCAAGUUGGUUUUGCA